Molecule: long non-coding RNA, 660 nt
Organism: Cyprinus carpio (common carp)
Lineage: Eukaryota; Metazoa; Chordata; Actinopteri; Cypriniformes; Cyprinidae
Source: Ensembl
CCUACCUGCAGUAAGAGGGGUUCUCGGGACGCACGUACACGUGUUGGUCAUAAUGAAUCUUCAUCGCUGGAAAAACUAAAGGACGAACUUGCAGCCAGACUAUCUGCAGUUCUGUUGCCAUAUUUAUGAGUUACGGUUAUGUUGGCCAUACAAAACACAGAGAAACUGCCAGCAGCUGCUCAUUAGCUAUGGAGCCGAUUUCUCACCCGUCACCCCCCGUGACUCCACCCACAUUCUGUUACCAUGGCGGUUACCAUGUCAACGCCAAAAGUUUCAUCUUAGGGUUUCGGUCAACCCCACUGGCAUGUAGCAGACAUUAACUGUCUCUCUCCUCAUCUCUCCACAUCUGGAUCAUAUUGUCAUCACAAGCGUGUCUACAGUGUCUUGUGCCAUGCUGAAAGAAGAUGUUGACCUUUGACCUCUGCCUUGGAGUGCUGAAGUACAAUGACCUGUGACCCUUAGGGUUAUGGAUGAAUGAGGUGUGGUGAACGCUCAAAACGGGAUGACAGGAAAGCUAAACGACAGCUUGUCAGCAUGGACUUUUUCACAGCUCUAACAAGAGACUCUAUCUCUGUCUGAUCUGUCCAAACAAACUCACAAACACUUAGCAAAGAAUUCACUGAGAAUAAAUGGAUACCACGGAUCGAGCCGUUUAUGCUC